UCAGCGAUUGGGGUGAAGUCGUAACAAGGUAGCCGUAGGAGAACCUGCGGCUGGAUCACCUCCUUUCUAAGGAAUACGU
RNAcentral lists this ribosomal RNA (79 nucleotides) under Clostridium perfringens. Its description in RNAcentral is "partial 16S ribosomal RNA". The stretch from base 1 to 66 matches the Rfam family "Bacterial small subunit ribosomal RNA", at positions 1468 to 1533 of the family's 1533-position model. The record is from RNAcentral. Lineage: Bacteria; Bacillati; Bacillota; Clostridia; Eubacteriales; Clostridiaceae.